GUCGUAACAAGGUCUCCGUAGGCGAACCUGCGGAGGGAUCNUUACACAAAUAUGAAGGCGGGCUGGAACCUCUCGGGGUUACAGCCUUGCUGAAUUAUUCACCCUUGUCUUUUGCGUACUUCUUGUUUCCUUGGUGGGUUCGCCCACCACUAGGACAAACAUAAACCUUUUGUAAUUGCAAUCAGCGUCAGUAACAAAUUAAUAAUUACAACUUUCAACAACGGAUCUCUUGGUUCUGGCAUCGAUGAAGAACGCAGCGAAAUGCGAUAAGUAGUGUGAAUUGCAGAAUUCAGUGAAUCAUCGAAUCUUUGAACGCACAUUGCGCCCUUUGGUAUUCCAAAGGGCAUGCCUGUUCGAGCGUCAUUUGUACCCUCAAGCUUUGCUUGGUGUUGGGCGUCUUGUCUCUAGCUUUGCUGGAGACUCGCCUUAAAGUAAUUGGCAGCCGGCCUACUGGUUUCGGAGCGCAGCACAAGUCGCACUCUCUAUCAGCAAAGGUCUAGCAUCCAUUAAGCCUUUUUUUCAACUUUUGACCUCGGAUCAGGUAGGGAUACCCGCUGAACUUAAGCAUAUCA
This 572-nucleotide ribosomal RNA is filed under the name uncultured fungus. RNAcentral describes it as "eukaryotic LSU rRNA". The stretch from base 210 to 363 matches the Rfam family "5.8S ribosomal RNA". The record is from RNAcentral. Lineage: Eukaryota; Fungi.